RNAcentral lists this ribosomal RNA (253 nucleotides) under uncultured bacterium. RNAcentral describes it as "partial 16S ribosomal RNA". It matches the Rfam family "Bacterial small subunit ribosomal RNA", at positions 524 to 776 of the family's 1533-position model. The record is from RNAcentral.
GACGAACCUUGCUAACGUUAUUCGGAAUUACUGGGCUUAAAGGGUGCGUAGGCGGUGCGGAAAGUUGGGUGUGAAAGCCCUCGGCUCAACCGAGGAACUGCGCCCAAAACUGCCGUGCUCGAGGGAGAUAGAGGUGAGCGGAACUUAGGGUGGAGCGGUGAAAUGCGUUGAUAUCCUAAGGAACACCGGUGGCGAAAGCGGCUCACUGGAUCUCUUCUGACGCUGAGGCACGAAAGCUAGGGUAGCGAACGGG